This 253-nucleotide ribosomal RNA is filed under the name uncultured bacterium. RNAcentral describes it as "partial 16S ribosomal RNA". It matches the Rfam family "Bacterial small subunit ribosomal RNA", at positions 524 to 776 of the family's 1533-position model. The record is from RNAcentral.
GACGUAGGGCGCGAGCGUUGUCCGGAUUUAUUGGGCGCAAAGAGCUCGUAGGCGGCUUGUCGCGUCGUCCGUGAAAACCAGGGGCUCAACCCCUGGCUUGCGGUCGAUACGGGCAGGCUAGAGUUCGGUAGGGGAGACUGGAAUUCCUGGUGUAGCGGUGAAAUGCGCAGAUAUCAGGAGGAACACCGGUGGCGAAGGCGGGUCUCUGGGCCGAUACUGACGCUGAGGAGCGAAAGCGUGGGGAGCGAACAGG